UAGUAGUACGUGUUGUUAUCAAACGUUUUCAAUUUAUUUUCAACUCUAACCGUAGCGCAAUUGUGGUUAAUUAACUUCUGGAUUUGGAUUGGAUAUGCACAUGGACUCUGGUCAUACGGAUUUCUAUUUAUGACAUAUUGAUUGUGCGUACUGACGUGGAAACUUACCGAAAUCUAACAACACACACAUACAUGUUGCAAUCAGAAAGGCGACCCCUUUACCCCCAAAAAACGAACAAUCAAUGCAUCCAAUCGAACAAUUUUACCGCAUCCAUUAUGCCAGUUUCCUUCUUGUAUUCGGAUUUGUGAGCUUUUUCGCAAUGCGGAACGAUAAAUCGGCAGCGCGUGGGCGCAAAUGGCGAACCUCUGAAGCUUACUUACAUCUCCUGGAAUUUCUCGGAGGCUGGGUUGGAAGUCUUUGUGCUCAAGUAUUGUUUUGUCACAAGAUCAGGAAAGCAAGCUACCAGUUGGUGUACUGGUUCAUUGUUAUGUUUCAUGUUGUGUUCAUGACGAAAGAGCUGUUUAAUUGUGUCGAUACGGUCGUGAAAUUAUUUACAUAGUAAUUGCUCUGUGAUACAAUUAUCCAUUUGCAAAUCGGUUUAACAUUCCAUAAUAAAUCUUUCCUAUCUGUGAUUAA
Molecule: long non-coding RNA, 636 nt
Organism: Folsomia candida
Lineage: Eukaryota; Metazoa; Arthropoda; Collembola; Entomobryomorpha; Isotomidae
Exons: 3
Source: RefSeq, a predicted model, not a curated record